Molecule: ribosomal RNA, 465 nt
Filed under: uncultured bacterium
Lineage: Bacteria
Description: partial 16S ribosomal RNA
Rfam family: Bacterial small subunit ribosomal RNA
Source: RNAcentral
CCUACGGGAGGCAGCAGUAGGGAAUCUUCCACAAUGGGCGAAAGCCUGAUGGAGCAACGCCGCGUGGGUGAUGAAGGUCCUCGGAUUGUAAAACCCUGUUGUUAGAGAAGAAAGUGCGUGAGAGUAACUGUUCACGUUUCGACGGUAUCUAACCAGAAAGCCACGGCUAACUACGGGCCAGCAGCCACGGUAAUACGUAGGUGGCAAACGUUAUCCGGAUUUAUUGGGCGUAAAGGGGACGCAGGCGGUUUGUUAAGGCUGAUGUGAAAGCGUUGGGCAUAACCGGAGUAGUGCAUUGGAAACUGGGAGACUUGAGUGCAGAAGAGGAGUGUGGAACUCCAUGUGUAGCGGUGAAAUGCGUAGAUAUAUGGAAGAACACCAGUGGCGAAGGCGGCUCUCUGGUCUGUAACUGACGCUGAGGUUCGAAAGCGUGGGUAGCGAACAGGAUUAGAUACCCUUGUAGUC